RNAcentral lists this long non-coding RNA (17888 nucleotides) under Theobroma cacao (cacao). Its description in RNAcentral is "long non-coding RNA (TCAC_LNC000663)". The record is from RNAcentral. Lineage: Eukaryota; Viridiplantae; Streptophyta; Magnoliopsida; Malvales; Malvaceae.
GAUAAUGUUGAUGUUAAUAAGUGCACCAUGCUAACUUGACGAAUAUUUUGUGAAAGUCAGGUAGGCUAGUUAAGAAAAUUCUGACCACCUUCUGCCUUAUGUUACUGUUUUGGUUUGAAUUUUUUGGCCAAAUAUGUUGUGCAAAACGGUAAACUUCUCUGGUGAUUUAUUUUCCGGUCCUUGUGCAAUAAACUGUCAACCUUUACCAUGUGAAGACAAUUCAUAACCUUUGAAAUAUUAACGAGCUCUUCAUUUUCUGCAUCAACAUUCUGCACUUUUUACUUUUAUCUGGUUGUCUCAGUUUGUCUUGGUUUCCUUCCAGUUGUUUACUUACACAAAACACUGCAUCUUUGUAAUGCUUGAAGGAAAAUUCGUCAAUGGAACGGUUUUGGUGGUUGAUGGAGGACAAUGGCUGAGCACGCCCCGUUUGCUGUCCAAAGAUGCUGUGAAACAACUGUCUAGAAGAGAGGAGAUAAGGUCAAGGGCUGUGCCAACUGGUUUACCAAAGAGCAAGUUGUGAUAAAUCUAUGUGAUGUUUUGGUGGCCGAAGCCAUAGAUUCUAUUCUGGUUGGCUAGCUUAAAGUCACUAUGAACAUUUGUUGAAACUUUAGUAAGCAUCUACUUUAAGAAUCUGCUUUUAUCCCCAUCACGAUAAACAUCUCUAUAUUUUUUCAUAUUCUUUUGCUUUCGAUGAACCAAAUGCUUCGACGAUGGCUUGUGCCCCCAUCUAGGAAUCUAAACGUUAUUGACCGGAUAAUUUUUCGAGUCUAAAUUGCAUAAUUUAAGAUUAAUUAAUUUUAAAUUAUUAUAUAUAUUUUAACAAUCAUGUUCACAUUUAACGUAAAAUAAAAUAUUAAAUUUAAUGUAAAAUAAAAUUUAUUCCCUUCGAAAUGGAUACUCAUAUGUUUUCAUGUAAUUGCUUAGCACUUUCAAGAAUCAACAAGCUUCUGAACAUCUUGACAAUUUCAAUCGUGCAUAACAAGGUAAGUUGAUGAUAAUUUCAAUCUUGCAUUGCACAACAAGCUAGAAUAUAAAAUUGCUUUUGUUAUAGAAUUUAAGAAAUAAAAUUUUCAAUAAUUUUUUUUUCAAACCAAAUUCAUUGUAUUAAUUAAACAGUUCAAAGAAUUACCAUAGUUCAAGUAAUUGAACUAAUAAAAAAAAAAAUUCACUUGAAAGUAUCUAAUGACGAGCCAUUCAGUGAACAUUUACAUUAAAAAUUAUUAAAAAUAUUUAUAGAUAGAAUCAAAUUUAAACUUUUAAAAUUUAGAACGAUUUGGAUCUAUUUAAUUUUUAAAUAUAUUAUAAAAUUAAAAUCAAGUAAAUUUAAUUAUUUAAUGUAUCACAAACCAAUCAAAAACAUAUAUUCAAAUCGUGAACAAAUCGAACCUAGACUUGAUUAUUUUGGUAUAUUUCUUUGCUAGAAUGAUAAUAAUGUCUAAAGUUAUGCUACGCCUUUUGGAGGUCCAUUGCAAGUGAACUAAUAAUGCAGCCAUGGACGGUGCUGGUUACACCUUGCAAAGGACGCUGACCCAUCCCUGAUCCGACCCAACACUUUGUCACUGAGCAUGCAAAGACAUUAUGAUCUCGAUCAUAAAGAGCUCUUGCGUUUCAAUUUUCAAUUACUGUAUAUAGUAAUUGAUAUUGAUUUCUCAACAAUUAAAUAAAUAAGCUCAACUUUGAUUUUUGUAAUCUUCUUACUUUUUUAAAUAUAUAAAUAUAUUUUCUGGUUUUAAACAUAAACUUUAUCUUUUUUUUCCUCAUUUUAAUUGUUUUUAUUAGUUAAAUUAAUUUAAUUUUAAAAUUUUAAAAAAUGUUAUAUAAAAUUAAAAUGCUAAAUAUUUUAUAAUUUUCGUAAAAUUUAUUAAAGUUAAGUUUGUCUGAAAAAAAAAUUAAUAAAAAACGAAUAUAACAAAACAUUGAGAAUAUAAAAAAAUAAAAAUAAAUACGUUUUAAGUAUUUAUUUAAAAAAUAAAAAAUAAAUUAAUAGUUGAGACUUCAGAGUAUCGCACGGUGUUCUUCCAAAUCGUGCGAUUGUGAAAGCCUUUUUUGAAAGGUUCUGUGCGAUUUUUAUUUAAUGACUUGAAGAUGUAAGUAAAGUCAUUAUGACUUGUAUUUAUGAAUGCUUUUAUUGAGGCUAUAAAAAUAGGUUAAAACUUGUACAAGAUAUAUAUUUAGAGCAACUUCCAUGGUUGUUCUUUAACAAUCAUCUUAUAUAGAUCGGGGCAGAAAGCGUUAUGGAGAUGGCUCCUUUCUCCAUGCGAGGUCGUCUUCACAAGAAUCACAAGAUGCCAAUCACCAAGAAACGCUUGAAAUUGCAACCAAAAAGGGUAAUAGAUAUGAUCUUCCAUCUUCUUGCAAUCUUUUUCUGUCCUUGUAAAGAAAAUUUGUGCUUGAUCGAAUCCUCUCUAAUUCCCAUCGAUAGUUCUGAUGCAAUCGACAUGCACCAUUAAUGACACUUGUCCAUCAUUUCAGAGUAUUUGUUAGUAAAGUGUUGCUCAUAUUGGUUUACUUGAACAUUAAUUAAUUAAUUUUUGAUUGGAUUUGGACAGAGAAAGAAUGGGAUGAAGGGCAUGCAGGAAAGGUUUGAGAGGUUGAAAAUAGAGAUGGAGGAGAUCAGCGAGGAACAGAGGGGUAUUCGAGAAGGGCAGAGACAAGUUCGUGAAAAAUUUGAAGCAAUUGAAUCUGAGUGCGAGCAGUUGAAGAAAGAAACUAAAUUCAUAAUCCAACAAAGUGCUAGAACUCAGAUCAAAGUAGUUCUCAUGUUCAAAAUAUUGAAGGCAAGGGACGAGAGUGACUUUUCCACCGCUGCUAACCUUACUCAGUUGCUUGGGUACCUUUCUUUUUUCUUCCCUUUGCAUGAGCAAGCCUCUACAAGAAUUCCCUCCCAAUUUGAAUGGCAAAGAUAAAAAGGAGGAAAAAAUGAUUAAUUCAGGAAAAAAAUAAAAAAAAAGGACAAUCACAAAAGGAAGAAAGGAUAACUAAUGGAGUGAUGGAGGAAACAAGGUAUCAUGUGAUAUGUUUUAUGUUUGUUGGAAAAAAGUAAUAAAGCUGAUAAAUAGUUAGUCCUUGAAUCAAAGAAUCUUAUAUAUAUAUUUGGUAUGCAUUGCUAUAGUUUUAUGUUAAUGAUCAAAUGUUUUCUGCCAUUAACGCUCCUUUAGUAAAUUAUUUAUUCAAAUAUAUGUUUAGUAUAUAUUGCUUUCGAUGUACCUAAAAGAAAAAGAAAAGAGGAAGAAAUUUUUCUUAUGCCAAUCAAUUGAAGUUACUCAAUUCUAGUUGUUGUCCAAUGAUCAUCCUUGAAUUUCAAUUUUCAUGUUGUGAUUGUCAUACUUUGCUUAGCGUAAAGGUUCAAAUUUAACUAAAGUAAGAUGUGCAUAAAGAAAAGAGAAAAGCCUGUUUCAGAUGUGAUUCCAACUUUAUAUAUUUGCUUUCAUAUUAAGCAAACAAUUAAGAUAUUGUUUACGUGAAGCUUUUGAUCCUUUCAAAGAAGUUUUCUGAACAUUAUUGAAUAAAUUAUGCUAUCCUAUUAAUUUCCUCACUUGACAAGGUUAUUUUCUUUUCUCAUUUUACAGUCAAAUUGUUGCUAGGGAGAAGGAAGAAAGGCAAGCACUGAGUGAUGCAUGAACAAAAGUUAUAAACUUCCUCAUGAUCUGUUGGUGGAGUUUUUAAUUAAUGUCGUUUCUCCUGUCUUCUACUGUUGUACGUUGUUUGUUAAUUACUAUACCACCUCCUCCUUGCUUUCUCUAUAAUCUCUACUCAUGGCUUUUAACUGUUCUGCUAUUAUAUGGUUUAAAGUAGUUAUUUAAGAGAAAUUAAAACCCACAAAUUCAGUAUUUGCUUUGUUGCUAAGUAAUAUGUACUUAGAGUAUUAAUAGUUUGUACUGAUUGAUGGAUGUGUAAAAAACGAUUGUUUGGAGCAACAUUUUCCACCUUUCUAUUUGAGGUCUUAGUUCAUAUAUAUGACUCUUGAUGUGUUAGUAUAUAUAUCCACGUGGUUCAUUUAACUCAUAAGACAUAGACAUGUAGUUUUGCUCUCUAUUUGGAACAAAACAAAGGCAAUUUCACCAUUAAACAUCUCAUUUUUUAAUUAUAUUUGGUGCCUCUGUCAGUGUAUAGUUUAUAUACUAUCAAUGAACAAAAUAUAUUGUUAUCUCAUUCAUAAAUAAAUUUAAAAAUUAAGAACUCUAAAAAAUAGAUACUUUAUUUUGAAGAAUUUUCACAUGUUUGUAAAGUACUGUUCUUUUGACACUGUAUAAAUUGAAAACAUGUCGAGUUAUUAAUGAAAAACUUAAUGAUGGUUUAGAUUUUAGAUUAAUUCACAUUCUCAGCACUCAACAAGGAUUUAUUUGAACUAAGUACGUAGUGGGAAGGCAUGCAAAGAUUGAUUUUUAAGUCCACAGGCUUUAACUUGGAAGUCGAAAUGCUUUCUUGUUGGAAGUAGUUAACAUGCGUGUAAUUAGUACUGGAUGAAGCUUGUUAACAGUUUUGCAAGAGUAAAGGAGAGUAAAAUGAGAAAUAGUUAUAUAAAUUGUCAGAAAAGUAACAAGCUAGGAAUAUAAAGUGAUAGCAGACAAGAAACUAAUCAAUUAAAAUUGAGAAAAAUGAUAGAAACAGUGGUUGCAGCGACAAAAUAACGUGAGUAGAUAGGGUGGUGAUGGCAUGACAGGCUUGCAGCGAAAAAAAAACCAACGAAAUAAUUGUGUGGGCUGUUGUUGCUUCCCUAGUGUACAAUGCAUUAGCAUUAUGAAUUGUGACUUUAAAGUCAAGACCUACAUUGAGGACGAAGAACACUUAUAUUUUUUAUCUGAGUUCGUUGAACAUUAAAUCAGACAAAUAAGGUGAUGAAUUUGUUAUUCGUCUAACUUGUUAUCCGUUCAAGAUCAAAUUUGCUGAACUUAUGAAAAUCAAGAAUGCAUUACAAAUGUUUGCAUUUUCUUGGAGAGUGGUCAUCGAGUCAGAUUCAAGUCUUUUUUUUUUUUUUUUGAAAGGCGAGUCAGAUUCAAGUUGCUAUCUCAUGAGUGAAAAACGCUUCGAUCAGACUAUGAAUUCAUUGGAGUAUCUUCAACGAUAUUGACAAUCUUUGGAGAUUUUUUGGGAGGUAGAACUCUAUCAGACUAUGAAUGCACUCGUGGUGUGAAUUGUGAGGCAAUGUUUUGUACUUGGCGGUUGUAAGAGAAGAUACAGUCGGUUGUUCUACUUCAUUUUGUGGUGUCAAGCUUCAUGUUGCAGAUUUUUCUAUUUUUCUUUAUAUAUGGGAAUGGUGCUCUUAAUGUCAACUAAACUUGAGUUUAUGUUGGAAUGUUUCCUUCUGGAAGGCUGCCAUUUUCUCUACGAUCCCCCUCUGUUCUGCUUUGCCAUAUUCUGAUGACUUUGUUCCGUCCUUGAUAAAAUUCUUUUUUCUUUCAAAAUAAAAAGGGUUUCUUUGAUGAAAAUCCUAUUACUCCUCUUGAGCACCUUAUUACCAUGCCUGUUUAAGGUCAAAGGAUCUGAUAAAAGAACCGUUAUAAAUCAGCAUUGCCUAGAGUUAUUGGUUAAUGAAUUCCUUUAUAUAUAAAAGGUAUUUAGGCAGAAAAGGACAUAAGUGGGUAAAGAUCGGUCGGGCUUGUGCAAUUUUUUGUUCCUUUUGUUCGAUGUCGCGCGAUCUUCCAACUUUCCCUCGCGAGCGCAUCACCCCUGCCUUGCUUGCUUGACUAUUUUCAAACUCGCAUUUUUUUAUAUCAUAUAGAAAUCAAAUUAUUGGAGCCCGAUGUUUCUUGCAUUUCAAAACUUACGAGAGAUACAAGAUCAAGAUAGAUUGAGAUUAAGGUGAGUAUCUGCAUCAAGAUGAGUUUUUCUUUUUUAUGGACGAAAGAGUCCGUACAACAAUGACAUUACACAACUAGAUAGAAGAAAGUGUCGCGAAUCUUCACAUCAUAAGCUCCAUAGAUCCUUACAGCAACUCACAGAGAAUUAACUAACAAGAAGAAGGAAGACAGUCCGCUACUUUAGAAACAGUUCUCCAUUCCAGCGAGAAACAGCUCUACAAAGCUGUAACAAUUUGAUCUAGGAAGGGCAUAGAAACAUUGGACUUGAGCCUAUGCCGGUAAGUAGGACAGGAAGAGUGAGAGAGCAGUCACUUAUCGCUGCAAGCAACAUGGAAGCUGGAAUUCAGUUUCACUGACAAAGGUUUUCAGCCAGCUAAUUCAGUUAUACAGACAGUGAUUGAUCAUAACAACAUCAAUUUCGUAAUGUAUCACAAUGAAGUUAGACUUCAGUUAUAUAUCUAAAUGUAUAUGAUAUGUAUUGAUAGUAAUAUUGUUUGUAAUUAUAACCGAGCAUGUGCACGAUGUGGGGGAGCACAUGUUGGUGAUGAUGGGUGCGGGAGUGUGGAUGAUGAUAUUGUGUGUGCGCGAUGUGGGGGAUGCACACGAUGACUCUUGCUAUGUGCGCGAUGUGGGGGUUGCAUAUGAGAUGGGUGAGGCGGUGGUGGUAUGCGUGUUUAUAUAUAUAUAUACUUAUGUAAUAGAAAGUUUAUGAAUAUGAUAUAUGGUUGUAAUGUAUGUGGAAUCCUGCAUGUUGAACCUUGAAAAUUACUAAGUAUUUUCAAGUUGAUUUUUUUUAUUGCAGCAAAAUGGCCUUUUCUUGAUGCGAUAGGAAGUUUCUUCUUGGUGAUUUGUUUUCCGCUGCAGCGAGAAUGAUUCUCGCUUCAGCGAGAAACUCUCGAGUUGUUAGUUCAAUUUUUGCCGUAAAGUCCGUUGCAGCGAAAAUGCCUUUCCACUGCAACGAGAUUUGUUUUGCUAUGCUUGCCUUGCUUGAACUCCAUUGCGCUCUCACUCUUUAACUUGUUUAUUGAUAAUGGAUUUUUCAAUACUAAGGCACUAAAUGAUCAAGAGUUGAAUUAAGGGGGUUUUUAAUAAGAAAUAAACUAAAUUGCAUUAUUUUUGAACUUAAAUGCAUCAUGAUUUCUAAACCUUUCUUAACGUUGCUUGUUCCCUUCUUAUAUUCACUCACUGAGUUUAUACUCACGUUUUCAACUUCAUGUUUUCAGAUUCAAGGGUGGUUGGGACGUAGAUUGAGGUGUCCACGUGCGUCCAUCUUUUGGUAGGUAUCCUGGCAUUCAGUAGUCAUAUUCCCCAUCCAGAGUCACUCUGUUGACAAUCAAGGUCUUUCUAUAUGCUUAAUUUGAAUUGUUAAGAUACAUUUGACAAGCUAUUUGUGUAUAUUUUGAAUUAUGAUGCCAAUGUGAGCAUUCACUUGGGUACUAUGAAUUGCGUUUGAAGAAAUUGACAUUGGAACACUAUUAAGCAUAGAUAUUAAAGAAAUAUGAUAGAUGGAUGGACUAAUGUACAAGUGCAUAUAGAAAGGCUUGCUUGGGCCUAGUGGGCUGUGCCUAUUGGGUCCUUGUGUCGGUCAUAACCCGAGAAUUGGGCUGUGACAUGUACCAUGCCAGCAUUUAGUUAAAAUUUGUUGCCAGUUAAUGAGCUUACAAAAUCUGAAAAAUAUAGUUUGACCUAGUAUGGUAUCUUGAGAGAUAUAGUUUGUCAUUCUCCUAGAAAAGGCAAUAGUAUAAAAAAAUCAAGUGUUCCUAUCCCUUUUAAAAACCACUUAACUCUUGAUUUUUGGUGCCAUUCCUUUUCUUGGUCUCCAUAUACCUUCCAAACAUACUCCUAACCAAAAACUCUUAACCACUUUUUUGUAUUUCUUUCGAUACAUCAACAACAAUAUGGCAUAUGUUGUUGAGUUGCUCCUUGAGUUGGGGAGUGGUCAACCCUCUAAUCAACUCAUAAACCAUGUCUUCUACUUUUCUGAGUAUUUUUUGUAAAAUCCGCCUUUGAUAAAACCCCAUCAAAAGUCACAAGUGGUUCAUCAAUGCUCAUAUCUGUAAGACUAUAAACCAUAAAAGGAACUCUUCCUUUAUUUAAGAUACAUAAAUCUUCCAAAUUCUGUUUGAAUGUGAGGAAUUGGUAGGAACGUUCACACUUCCUACUAAUUUUAACAUGUCUAGUAUCAUCUCAAAAAGAACUGCAAAUUGUUAUUCAACAUUAUAAAUGUGCCUUUUAAGAUCCUCAUCAUUAAUAGAAUUUAAAUGGAGAAUCUACCUGAAUAGAAGAACUUGAUUUUGUAAAUCCAUCAUUUGCUACUUUACUCGAUCAGGUAAAACUAUUGGAACCUCAAAAGUGGGGGCUCUGAUUUUGUAACCGUAUGGCUCAUUGGUUGGUGCAUGAUGCCUUAUCUAAAGAGUAAAGUUCGAAUCCCUUUUCCCCCAAUUAAAAAAAGAGUAAUCAUAUGGGACCUUAAAAGUUUGGGUUCUAAAUGUUGGUGCAAAUGUUGUUUAGUUGGAAUUCAAACAAACUGGUAAAAUUGACUUCAAGGUGUGCCUUUAAUAGACGUUAUUUUAAGGUUGCAAAGUUGUUUGAACUUAGAGAGUCUACUAUAAGGAACUUGGCCAUUCUUGGUAAAUGAUGAGAAUUCAAAGUGUUUAUAUUUAUUUUCUAAAUUUUGUUCAUAACAUAAUAUUUCUCUUACUCUUGAUUUUUUGUUAUUAUCUUGUUUGUUUGAUGUAUCAAAAUAAAUGGCUGACAACAAAACCUUUAAAUAGACUUUCAAGUGUCUCUUCUUUAAGGACACAACCGUUUCAUUAAAGUAUCUAUAUGUCUUAAAGAUACCCUUACAUGUUGUAAGACACAACUUAUCCAAAGUUAUUGUUCUAAUAAUUAAUUUAUGAAAAAACAACCAUUUAUUCCAUAAAACAUAACCUUUGAGUUAUAAUAUAAAAAGAUAAUUUUUUAUAUUCAAAUUUUUGAGUAGUGGUAUUUUUCAAUUGUCUCAUAACCUUUGCAUUUAGUGGUGCUUUUCCAAAUGUCACCUUAUCGAAAGACAUACUUUUCAUAUGAAAAAUAACCUACAAUCCAAUUCAAUUUAUGUGACUAUAAUAGUCACAACUUUCAUAUGAAAAAUUAUAACUUUUUAUUUACAAUUUUUCAUGUUUUCAUUUUGAAAAUACUCCAACACUAAAUUCAUGACUGUCAAGACAAAGUUGGAUUCUAAUAUCUUGCUCUUUUGUUUUAGUGGGUACGUUCUUUACAGUCUUUUCUUUUUUUACUGCAUGAAAACAUUGCAACAGGACAUUUAGUUUGCCAUUGAUCUCAACUCCUUUUUAACUCAAAAGUUCAAGAAAUUGCAUCAAAGGUUGAAAUUGAUAUUCUUGUUGUGCUCUCAUUGCUCUACAAACUUUUUGUUCCAACAGAGGAACUUCAACAUUUUGAGAACCACCGAUGUUGUUCAAUGGACAGAGAGCUUCUACAAAACUAUGCAACCUAUUCUUGACAAUUUCAUGCUCUUCCCUUUUCAUUUUAGCCAACCUAAUCACUUAUUGAACCCCCAAAAGUGGGGGCUAUAAAUUCAUCACUGUGAAGAAAAGUAAAAUCCCAAGGAAUCUUACUCUCCACUGAUGCAUUCGCCCCAUAAAGAAUGAGCAUACUACAAUUCUAUUGUGCUUUGAUUUGUUCUCGUUCUUUGUUUGCAGUUUUUUUUCUUGCUGCAAGUCACUUAGUUUGUCAUGGAUGUCAGAAUCUUCUUUUAUCAACCGAUCAAGAAAUUGCAUUAGAUGAUGAAAUGGAUAUUCUUGUUGCACACCAAUGGCUCUGCAAACGUGAAGUUCGACAUUUUGAGUAUCACCAAUGUUGUUCGGUGGAAAGAGGGAUUCCACAAAACAGCGCAAUCUUUUCUGGAUAACUUAGUGCCCUUCUAUCUUCAUUGUAGCUAAUCUAAGCAACCAACGAACUUCUUCUUGAUGGCAUUCUUGAAUUAUUUGGGUAAUCUUUUCAUCAAUUUGUGAGAUUGACGAGAACUUCCUUCGAACUUCGUUAAUCAUGUCGUCGUUGACAGCCUUGGUAGCCAUGGAUGAUGAGAGGGUGAUUGGGAGGGUGUUUUGUUCUUGGAGAAAAAAAAGAAAGGGAGAGAAAAAGUGGUUUGGCGUUCAAAAAAGAGUCUUAUAGUUAGUUAAUUUAGUUAUAUAGGUGACUGAUACAAAAAAAAAAAAAGGCCUUGAGCCAUGAUUAUGAAUUUCAAGUCCAACGGCUAAACUUAAGUUAUCUAUGAUGAUCUUUGAAAGAUCAUGAAGAAAAAUACAAGUACUAAAGCUGCUUUAAUAAUUAAGCUCGAUAUUAAAAUGUAAUGUUGGGAAGACAAUAGCAUUCUAAGUAUGCGGGCAAACUCCCAACAAGCAUGUGAUUCUUAAUGAAUUAAUGACAACCAAUGAGAAUGGUGGAAUGGAUGAGGUUUUUGCAAGUGAUGAAGUAGAGUGACAUGUUGACAAAUGUCUUGCUCUCGCCAAAAGCUAAUGCUUUGUAAAUAAUGGCAGUCAGGGUAGUGAUACUUUUUCCACUUAAAAAUCUCACUCUAUAUCACCUUCUGCCAUUUAUUUCUGAAAUUGAAACGUGAAAAUCACGUCGUUGUGGUAAUUAGAUCAACAUCAAUACUUCUUUUUUUAUUAUUAUUAUCUUGUCCAAUUAUUAUGAAUUGAGCUUUUUGUUAUUUUCCUUUAAACAUUUUAGUUAACGACAACAAAUUAGAAAGAUCCAUUUAGGAUCAAAUAUCAUCUCACCUUUGACAGAAAAAAUUUAAAAAAAUCCAUCUGGAAAGAUUAAAAGAUAGGGUUGUUGGGAUGAACCCUGUAGCCAAUUGAGAUUGGUUAAGGCUUGAUUCCAAUCAUGCAACAACAUAAUUCAUGUUGAAUGAUUAAAUGUUUUCCUUCAUCAAUAAGACAUCAAUUAUAACAAGUUAUAAGUCUAAUUGGAUGAAGUCCAGGAAAUUAAUAUGCCUUGCAAGGGAACUGUAAUGGGUUGCAGUUAUGAGAACCUUGUGCAUCAAAGCGUAAUCUCAAAAUGUUCUUGGUUAAUGUAUCAUUGAGACUGGACAUCAAUGAUACUUAGAGACUGGUACAUUCUAUGUUCCUUACUUGAAAAGUAAGCAAUUGAUCUCAUAGGUUGAAGUAUAGAGAUACUUAAAACUAGAAUGUAGAUACUUGCCUAGGAGAGCAAGUUCAUUGAACAUGACCCGCCAUGAGAAGUGCAUUUGAUAUUUCACUCAAGUGUCUAUGCAAUACUUCUCAUGUGUUAAUUGUGUAAAUACUCUCUAGACUUGAGACACCAGGUUGUUUUAUGUGUGGAGUGAUAUGCUUUGAUUUCAUCCCUAUGGGUACCUAACCAGGGAUGCCUAAACAUGAUGCUUUUGGGUAUAGCAUGAAGCACGUGAAGGCAAAUGAGUAGUCAAGAUAGGAAUCAUCACUCCAAGUGAUAUAGGGGACAUAUCCUAACUGUUCUUGGUUGAUAUCAGCUUAUUGAAGUCUUUGGCCAUGGCGACUUAAAGAUUGUGAAAGGAGUUUCAUAAGUUUUUAUAAAGUUGAUGAUCAAACUUUAAGAACGAAUAUGGAGAUCAAUAAGAGUAGACACUGCACCAUGUUCUUAUCAUUUCUAGGAUAUAUGGUGAGGAAAUGAAUUACAUUGAAAGGCUGAUCACUGAAAGGUUGAGUCAAAUCAUCUUGACUCUUCUAACAUUUGGCUGGCCAUGUUGGAUUGCUAGAUCCCAAUCUUGGUCUAUGAACUCUAGAUAGUUAACUUGAUUAAUGAUAAAUUUAAAGUAGUUUAAAUUUAUCUAAUUCUAAGUUUAAGUUAAGAAUUAUAUGUUAUUACCAACAUGUUAGAAGUCUAAUGGGUCACACACCUAAAAUGAAUGUUGAAAAUAAAAUGGGAGAGGUGAUUAAGUUGGACUUAAUCAAAUUAGAAGUUAUGAGCUUCUCAAACACUUGAUUAAAAUUGUUUAAUUAAGUUGUGCCUAAUUAACUAAAUUAUUUAAUUAAAUCAUUGGACCUAAUUAAUUAAAUUAUUUAAUUAAGUCAUUAGGUCUAAUUAAUUAAAUUAAACAAUUAAGUUAUUGGGUCUAAUUGAUUAAAUUUGUUUAAUUAAGUCAUUGGGCCUAGUUGAUUAAAAUUGUUUAAUUAAAUUGUUGGGCUUAAUUAAUUAAAUUAUUUAAUUAAGUUAUUGAGCCUAAUUGAUUAAAUUAAACAAUUAAGUUAAUUGGGCUUAUAAAGGACUUAAUUACAUUGUUUAUUCAAAUUAUUGGAUUAAUUGAUAAUUACAAAAUAGUUUUGUAAUUAGGGUUUAAAAUUAAUUCAAGGUAUAAAUACCUUGUUAUAGCCUCCAAACAAAAAGAGUGGAAACGGCUGAAAAAAAAAAAGAGUGAACGGCACAUUAGAAAUUCUUUUGUCUUGCCGUUCAUUGUGUGAAGAAAAAUAGUUUUUCAUUCACUUUAUUUUUUUUGUGUGUUCAGCCCCAUAAUUUUGUGUGGAUUGAGUUUAUGAAACUCAUCUUUACUAGCACAUUGUCAAGACAUAGCACUCUCAAUCCUUAAAGAGUGAUUUUCUCAUUCAUUGGUGUGGAUCACUAUUAGAUGCUGCACAAGGAUUCCUUGGACAGCUUUAUUUUGCAACAACCGGAGCUGAGGUGGUUGAGCUUUUUGAAGGCUGAUUUGGUGAUUUAAUAAAAGAUUUAUCAAUCUUUGUUAUUUAGAUAAAGUGAUAUGAUCAUAUAUUUUUAUUUUAAUUUAAUUAUGUACUGAAUUUGACAUGAAAGAGAUCUUAGGAAGGUGAGAUGUAAAUUUAAUUUUUAAAUUUAUUUCCGUUACGUUUUAUUUGUAUAUGAUGCAUGAUCAACCCUCACCCAACAAGGUACACUUCAAAUUAAACCUUGUGAUAUAUCUCUCUAGCUCGAGGAAACGACAUCGAAUAGGUUACAUCAAUGGGCUUCGUCUAUGGAAAAACAUGACCUUCUUUACUUAAUAGCUCAUUGUAAUAUAUUUAAUAUUAACAUUAUUUUUUAACGUGUACCAUUUGAUUUUCCUUUUAUUGAAUGGCAAAGUAUUUGUAUUCAUUUGAACAAAGGGUACAAAGACGUGCUGGUUCAAGUCUUUGGUCUAUUCUCAAUGAUAGAAGACUUGUUUGAGCAGUCCAGCUCGCCUGCUAACACUUUCCACAAAGAUUUCUAUCUACCGCCAACAAUUAACACAAAAACUUCUCUACAGUUUCCCACGCUCCUACCCAAAAAAAUUCUUUAGACAAAAUUUGAAAAAAAAAAAUUUAUAGUACUAUAGCAUUCUUUCUUUCAUUUUUUUAAUUUUUUCCCGAAUUAAACAUUUUUUCCUCUUUUUUGUCUUUUCCAUUCAAAUUGGGAGGAAAUUCUUGUAGAGGCUUGAUCAUGCAAAGCAAAGGAAAAAGAAAGGUACCCAAGAAACUGAGUAAGGUUGGCAGCGGUAGCAAAGUCGCUCUCUUCCCUUGCCUUCAAUAUUUUGAUGAACAUGAGAACUAAGAAUCUUCAUUGAGUUGUCUUUGUCUAGCUUACUGUGCUUGAUGAUAACGAUGUCAAGUUUCAAGGUCCUUUCCAAUAAUCCAUGUGAGUUUAUGCCUUUAUAUUUAAGCUUUUGUUAUAUGCAAAAUACGAUGACAAAGAAACAUUAUUAAAUAAACUUAUUUGUAACGUGUUCAUUAGAAAGCUCUUUUUGCCCGUGGCUGCACAGUUGAUUACGGUAUCCUUUAAUUUCCUCACUUGACAAGGUAUUUUCCUUUCUCAUUUUGCAGUCAAAUUGUUGCUAGGGAGAAGGAAGAAAGGCAAGCACUGAGUGGUGCAUGAACAAAAGUUAUAAACUUCCUCAUGAUCUGCUGGUAGAGAUUUUAAUUAAUGAGCAAAAGUUAUUCAUUAUUCAUUAUUUACAUCCAAAUAUUUGUUCAUUAUUCAUUAAUCUGGUAGAGAUGUAAAUAUUUGUUCAUGAAUGGAUAGUACAUAUUAUUCAUUAUUUUGAAUAAUGAACAAAAGUUAAUUAUUAUACCAUCCAACUUGCUAUCCGUUCGAUAUUCAAAUUUUGCUGAACUUAUUGAGAUAAAAAGCGUACUACAAAGUAUUUACAUCUUCUUCACGGGUGAGCUUGACGAAGUUAAUCAUCAAGUCGGAUUCCACAAGUUGCUAUCUCAUUGGUGAAAAACGCUUCGAUGAGAUUAUGAACUUACUGUUUUGCCAUAUCUUCUGUGAUGGUGGCUCUCUUUCUUUCCAGAACUGAUUUGUACAGUUUCUGGAGUGCAUUAGUUCACUUGAUACUUAAUGAAUUUUAGCUUUGCUUUUACUUAAUGUGGGAUGUAUUCCAGCUCGGAGUUAAAACGAGAAGCUAAGAGAUCAAUCCAAUAUCUAUGGAAUUCAUGAAUCGGCUUACCAAGGCGGGUGGAUAACCUGGAGCUACGUACGUACUAGAUGAUCGGCGAACCAGCUGCUUGCUGUUGCAGACAGACUAACUAAUCCUGGGUUUCUCCUAAUUAAGGAUUUCAUACGAAUAUAUAUUGAAAUGUUUCCUUUUGGAAGGCUGCCAUUUUCUCUAUGUUCUUUCUGCUUUGCCAUCUUGUUCAAUCCUUGUUACAUUCUUGAUAAAAUUCCUUUUCCUUUCAAAAUAAAUAAGGUUACUUUGAUGAUAAAAUUCCUUUUCCUGUUACUCCUCUUGAGAACCUUAUUUCCUUGCCUGUUUAAAGUCAAAGUCUGAUAAAACAGCAGUUGCAAAUCAUCAUUGGCUUAUUCCUCUCAGUCGGUUUCUGUACGCAAUUGCAGCCGCCGCAUUAAAAAAAUCUAUUCGUUUUUUUUGUAGACUUUAACACUGUAUUGAAAUGAAAGCGACGAGCAUUCAAGAUUCAAUAAUUAGUUUAUUGAAGACCAAAAACCCGCAAGCAAGCACAAGGGCUUUUCCAGGAAAAGAGAGGAAACUCCAAAACAGAACUCAUCUGGCUGUGUAGAAGGAGAUAGCGACAGAGUCAAAGAAAUCGUUGGAGCCAUCACCAUCCGAGCAUUGAUGCCCGAUGGUUCAGGUCGGUAAGCUUCAGAUGAUUGAGCGAGAGAGAGAGAGAGAGAUGGGUUUGAACCUGUUAAUUUUAACAUGCACGAGAAUCCCCAUGGCUGAAGCUUCUUCUUAACGUUCGAUAGAUAGAGAAGAUUAGCUCGCGCGACAUUUUCCCUGAUUAUUCAAUGAAUAAUGUCACAGUCAGAAAUUACCUAAAGUUUUAUGAUUAUAUUUUUAAAUCAAAUAAAAAUAAAUAUUAAAAUUUAAAAUUUAUAGAAAAGGAAUUUAGGUGGAAAAGGCCAUCAGUCGGUAUAAGAUUGGUCGGGCUCAUGCGAUUUUUUAUUCCGUUUUGUUCGACGUCGCGCGAUCUUCCUACUUUCCCUCUGGUAUAAUCUAGUGCGUGGCGAGCACAUCAUCCCUGCUGUGCCCUGCUUGACUGUUUUAAAACUCGCAGUUUUUGGUAUCAUUUAGAUAUCAGUAUAGUGGGGCCCCACCCAACGAUGAUGUCACAUAGCUGGAUGGUAGGAAGAACCCUGUCCUUUUCUUGUAAUUACAUGGUUGCUCCAUUAAAACGUGCAUGGUGGCUCACCAUUUGGCCCUAAAAAGUUUCGACUGAUAGAUUUAGUGACAACAUUUCCUCACAAACAGUCAAAACAGUCGAGUUAAUUCAUACAGAUUUCACAACAUCAAACCUAUUGAAUAUUAGACGUCAGGCUUAACUUUGAUAGUCUUCUGCGUAAUUUAAAAUUUUUAAUAGCAUUUGAGUAUUUAAUUUAUUAAUAAAUGCAUAAUUUUACUGUCUAAAUAAUAGGGUUUGAAUUUUUUUUAAUUAAAAAAAAUUAAAUUUUCAAUAUAUAAUCAUAUUUAUUUAUUAAGAUAAAAAAAAGAUAAUGACCCUACGUCUUGUCUCCAUUUAUCAUUAUCCAAAGCGAUUCGAAUAACGUAAUUCUUUUGAGCCAUCAAUGGCUUCACAAGUUCUUGACGAAUAAAACAAAAUUAAAACCACACUGGCAAAAACUGUAAGGCUUUCCUUCAUGCAUGUACUCCAGAGAAAACCAACUCUUUUGCAGACAGACUAACUAAAGCUGAGGUUCUCUGAAUUAAGGAUUUCAUUGCCAUUAUAUAAUACAAAUAUGUUGUAAUGUUUCCUUUUGGAAAAGCUGCCUGUUCUGAUGAACUUGUUCAAUCCUGUUACUGCCUCUUGACCACCUUAUUUCUAGGCCUGUUAAAGGUCAAAUUAAAGUUUGAUAAAAACAGUUAUAAAUCAGUAUUAACUUUCCCUCAUUCGGGGACAGAGAUCAGUUUUCGUAGGCAAUUGCAAAAGAUUUAAGUUGGCAUACGAUAUCGGCGUGUGCAGAGGGAACAAUCACCACAAACAGGGGAUAUGCUUCAUAGUGUUCUUUGCAAUUCCCCUUCCUAGCCUGAGCAACAAGCAAAAGAGAGCUCUCUACCCUAAUCCUAAAGACCCCUACUGGACAGAGAGAACAAAGGGAUAAAAGAAAAAGAAGGCAUUUUUUUAUGAAAGGCAAGAACGCAUUUAGAGGUAAAUUAAUUCUUUUGGCUUUUGCAGUAAUUGAUAUAGAUACUGUUGGCACUUUUAGAAUGUGCCAUAACGUAGUUAAGUAUCUAAAGAAAGGGGGACCUGGGAAGGACCCAUCCACUGGGGGAGCAAUAAUAAACAUGAGGGCGGUUUGCAUUAUGGAGGCACAUGGUACCAAAUUAAUGCGUCUGCCGCCAAGGUUAGUAAAUUUGCUGUCAAGUUUGUUAAAUCUUUACGUUAAUUUCUUUUGAAUGGGAUUCAGUUUCCGUAUGCUUAGUUUCCACCAGGCAGCUGUUGAUAGCAUUACCAGAAACUUGGCGUUGGAGUGGGGGACAGAUCAUGACAUUCGAGUCAAUGGGAUUGCACCAGGGGCUAUCGAUGACACUGCCGUUGUCACUAAACUUGCACCUGAGGAGAUGCUGAGCAAGAUUAAAGAGAAACCAUUGUACAAAUUUGGGGAGAAAUGAGAUGUUGCUAUGGCUGCUCUCUAUCUUGCAUCUGAUGCAGGUUUGUAGUUGUGUCUGGUUAUUUAGUUACAUGACCAUCAUUCAACUACACCAGGUUAGCAUUCCUGUAUCUUCACGUGUUUACUUGAACUUUUUCCUUAUGCAAUCUUAUGAGACCUUAAAAUACUUUAGUCUCUUCCUGUCUAAACUCUUUUAGACCUAUGAGCUUAACAAAAGCAGCAUUUGGCUAGCAAUUAAUUUUUAUAGGGAAAAGCAGGUUUUCAUUGUAUGCUGGAAGUCGGUUUGUGAACAUCGCCAAUAUGUGUAUUAUUUGCUAAUACUGUAUUGGUGGCACUGAUGAGAUAAACCCAAUUUUGGAGCUUCUGGGAUCUGAAUUCCAAUGUCAUUUGCAGUGAUACUCGAUGCCUUAGGAAGACCUGGCUCAAGAUCUUGUAUCCGGUCAUUGAAUGAUCUUGAUUUCUUGAUAGAUAGUUUAUGAAGUCUGACUCUAUGGGGAACAUUCUAAUCUGAGUUAAUUGCGAUCCAUCCCGGUGUUACUCUUCCAUUUCCUCCAUUCCCUCAAUUUGUGGUUUAAGCUUAAAUUACACGGGAAACCUCAUCCUGAAAUAACCUCACAUAUGAUGGUAGCCUAGUUGCUUAACUAAUUAUUGGUAUGUACAUUGCUUGUGAGUGGAUUUGGUAGGAGAUGCUACGCGGGAAAAAUUAGUGGAGGAAGAAUGUUAUUCUAUGCUUGGUCUCUCUUGCUACUGAUAAUAUCAUAAUCACUGGAUAAUGUUGAUGUUAAUAAGUGCACCAUGCUUACUUGACGAAUUUUUGGUGAAAGUCAGAUAGGCUAGUUAAGAAAAGUUUGACCACCUUCUGCCUUAUGUUACUGUUUUGGUUUGAAUUUUUUGGGCAAAUAUGUUGUGCAAAACAGUAAACUUCUCUGGUGAUUUAUUUUCCCGUCCUUGUGCAAUAAGCUGUCAACCUUUACCAUGUGAAGACAAUUCAUAACCUUUGAAAUAUUAACAAACUCUUCAUUUUCUGCAUCAACA